AUGCAUUCUACGGAAGUCCAGCUUGGAGUACCUGCCUCUAAUAACCGCUCCUUCCAAGCUCCUUCAGCAUCUCUGGAUUUCAAAAGAAUUCAAACUCCAGCUUGGCAAAGAGGGCUCAGAGGUGCACCGACCCUUGGCUUAGAAAUGAGGAAACUGAAAGACCUCCAAGCAAAGUACAUGGCUGAACUGACUAAGAAUCUAUAACUCUACAGCAGGCAAAGGGAUAUCUGUUUACCAGUAGCUGCAGAGCAAGCAAUGGGUAGAGCUGAUCACUGAAUUACAUGAGAUCGAACAUGUGGCCACAGUGACUAGCCAUAACUUCUCAACAGAUGACAUGGCCUUCCUUGCCUGCUUGUUCUUGCCAGAAUUAGGAGAAACCAGGUCUUACACAGCACUGGCUACCAUGGUGGACAGUAGAUGCUCUCGGGCUGAUGGAGCAUGCCAAGUCGCAGAUCUUGCAGCCAUUAAAGUUUACUGCUGGUUUCAGAAGGGACUGUGCAGUCUCCAAAUGCAUCCAGAGAGUGAGACUCUUCAGCUUGCCCAGCCCUCAAGAAGGAUUCAUGGCGUCAGACUUCCAUCGGCCAUAAUUAAUCACAGACUUUCUCUGCCUGUCAGCAACUCCGGCUGCUCUCCCCAAAUGAACCUGGGCACUCUUAUCUCCAGCUUAUGUGUGGUGUCCAACCUGGCCAGCCUCAGACAAGAAACUGGAGCUGCGUCUCGGG
RNAcentral lists this long non-coding RNA (722 nucleotides) under Callithrix jacchus (white-tufted-ear marmoset). RNAcentral's name for it is "lncRNA (ENSCJAG00000085487.1)". The record is from RNAcentral. Lineage: Eukaryota; Metazoa; Chordata; Mammalia; Primates; Cebidae.